This 440-nucleotide ribosomal RNA is filed under the name uncultured soil bacterium. RNAcentral's name for it is "bacterial SSU rRNA". It matches the Rfam family "Bacterial small subunit ribosomal RNA", at positions 26 to 518 of the family's 1533-position model. The record is from RNAcentral.
AGAACGAACGCUGGCGGCAGGCCUAACACAUGCAAGUCGAACGCCCCGCAAGGGGAGUGGCAGACGGGUGAGUAACGCGUGGGAACGUACCUUUCGGUUCGGAAUAACCCGGGGAAACUCGGGCUAAUACCGGAUACGUCCGCAAGGAGAAAGAUUUAUCGCCGAAAGAUCGGCCCGCGUCGGAUUAGCUAGUUGGUGAGGUAACGGCCCACAAGGCGACGAUCCGUAGCUGGUCUGAGAGGAUGAUCAGCCACACUGGGACUGAGACACGGCCCAGACUCCUACGGGAGGCAGCAGUGGGGAAUAUUGGACAAUGGCGAAAGCCUGAUCCAGCCAUGCCGCGUGAGUGAAGAAGGCCUUAGGGUUGUAAAGCUCUUUCGAGCGGGGAAGAUAAUGACGGUACCGCAGAAGAAGUCCGGCUAACUCGCGCCAGCAGCCGC